UUGUGUGUAGCUCAGUGGGAGAGUGCUUACCUGGCAUUCGUAAGCCUCUGGGUUUAAUCCCCAGGACCAUAAA
RNAcentral lists this transfer RNA (73 nucleotides) under Marmota monax (woodchuck). RNAcentral's name for it is "tRNA.Ala". Lineage: Eukaryota; Metazoa; Chordata; Mammalia; Rodentia; Sciuridae. The record is from RNAcentral.